This is a non-coding RNA of Acetobacter indonesiensis, 117 nucleotides long. Lineage: Bacteria; Pseudomonadati; Pseudomonadota; Alphaproteobacteria; Acetobacterales; Acetobacteraceae. The record is from Rfam.
AGCAUAUUUUGCCCAAGCGGAGCUCGACCGCAUCUUCAGACCAUGACACGCUUCAUUGAGGAGCAUCGGCAGAUAUAUGGUGUCGGGUCAAUCUGCAGGGUUCUGUCGAUUGCACCA